Molecule: ribosomal RNA, 500 nt
Filed under: uncultured Hydrogenobacter sp.
Lineage: Bacteria; Pseudomonadati; Aquificota; Aquificia; Aquificales; Aquificaceae
Description: bacterial SSU rRNA
Rfam family: Bacterial small subunit ribosomal RNA
Source: RNAcentral
UGGCACCUCAGCGGCAAACGGGUGAGUAACACGUGAGUAACCUGCCCUCAGGAAGGGGAUAACCCUCCGAAAGGGGGGCUAAUACCCUAUAAUGUCAGUCACCAUUAAGGUGGCUGACCAAAGGUGGCCUCUGCUCUGCAUGCUACCGCCUGAGGAGGGGCUCGCGGCCCAUCAGGUAGUUGGUGGGGUAACGGCCUACCAAGCCUAUGACGGGUAGCCGGCCUGAGAGGGUGUCCGGCCACAGUGGGACUGAGACACGGCCCACACCCCUACGGGGGGCAGCAGUGGGGAAUCGUGGGCAAUGGGCGAAAGCCUGACCCCGCGACGCCGCGUGGAGGAAGAAGCCCUUCGGGGUGUAAACUCCUGUCAGGGGGGAAGAUGCUCACAGAGGUGAAUAAUCUCUGUGGGUGACGGUACCCCCAGAGGAAGGGACGGCUAACUACGUGCCAGCAGCCGCGGUAAUACGUAGGUCCCGAGCGUUGCGCGAAUUCACUGGGCGU